CUUUUUCUUUUUUUUUUUUAAUAUAAUUUUCUAUCCUUAAGAGACUCCAAAGCACUAAGAGGUACACUGGGACAGUGAAAAAUGAAAGUGAGAGAAUUACAGAGUAAUUCCUCUAGAUUCUGCUUCAAGAUAUUUGCAGAUCCUCUCCAUAACCUCUCUACCCUUUGCACUAUUAUGCAAGAACUUCUCAACACAACGUUGUUCUAUCUUCUCUGCCAUUGAUGCCAACGCAGAUAAUGGCUUGAUCCGUAUACUUGUCUCCUGCUGACAAAGUGUCCACUCACUAGGAUUAUCAGGGUGAGGUUUGUAGCGAAUCUUCUCCUCAACUUCUAUGAACUUCUGGAGACUGAUGUUACGACUGGUAAGCUGCAUUGACUGAGUUUGAGCAUCAACAACUGUUGAUUCAACACAAUGACAAAUGUCCUGACCAAUAAUUUUACGGAUGAACCAUGGUCCAGGAGCAUGCACUGUAACAGCACGAGUUGUGUAAAGUUUCCCAGAUUCCCGAUCAAGCUUCCAGUUCAGAGUGUCGACUUCAAGGAUAUGGGAUAGAAUCCGCUUGUUCUCAGGGUCAGUAAACUUGCGCCAAGAUGCAGAAGUUACCCUCUCCCAUGGAUGCUUGUACACAUGCUCUUGCACAUAUGCUCUUACCAUGCUGUUUGACUUGAUGCUCUUGGCUCGAGAAACAGAAGGGAGCAACAGCGACUAGAACCCUAGAACAGAUCUCACAGGGCGACGGAAAAAAGAAGAGGAAAACAAGGCACGAAAAUGAAAUUUUGAUGGUGGUAACUAGUAGGUGCUGUCUGUGUGGUUCUGCGGAGUACGUGC
This 828-nucleotide unclassified non-coding RNA is filed under the name Hevea brasiliensis (rubber tree). The record is from RNAcentral. Lineage: Eukaryota; Viridiplantae; Streptophyta; Magnoliopsida; Malpighiales; Euphorbiaceae.